This 73-nucleotide transfer RNA is filed under the name Elusimicrobia bacterium HGW-Elusimicrobia-1. Its description in RNAcentral is "tRNA-Lys". It matches the Rfam family "tRNA". Rfam says of the family: Transfer RNA (tRNA) molecules are approximately 80 nucleotides in length. Their secondary structure includes four short double-helical elements and three loops (D, anti-codon, and T loops). The record is from RNAcentral. Lineage: Bacteria; Pseudomonadati; Elusimicrobiota.
GCGCCCAUAGCUCAAUUGGUAGAGCAGCGGACUCUUAAUCCGUAGGUUGGGGGUUCAAGUCCCUCUGGGCGUA